Molecule: non-coding RNA, 307 nt
Organism: Meleagris gallopavo (turkey)
Lineage: Eukaryota; Metazoa; Chordata; Aves; Galliformes; Phasianidae
Source: RefSeq, a predicted model, not a curated record
GUGGGGGCUGUCCAGUGGGUUGAGGAGCCCUGGAACAGCACACAGGAAAGCAACAGCUAAGGACAGAACAUGGACUGUGGGAACAUAAAUUUGGAUUCUACAUCAUUGCAAUGCUUGCCAGUGAAUACAGGCACAGGUCCAGAUGAGAAGUUGAAGGAACAGGUGCCAUUCCUUUAAAGCAUCUCCAUCAUCCCUGUAUCCCAGCUUCCAGCCCAGCUAAAAAAAGGCUGAAGGAGCACAGAGAAGAAACUUCCUGCAGACCAAAAAGCUCAUCCUUACUUGGCAUCUUCUCCACUCUCGUCGAACA